Molecule: long non-coding RNA, 328 nt
Filed under: Lathyrus oleraceus (garden pea)
Lineage: Eukaryota; Viridiplantae; Streptophyta; Magnoliopsida; Fabales; Fabaceae
Description: Pisum sativum (pea) long non-coding RNA (PSAT_LNC028433)
Source: RNAcentral
GCUUGAAAUAAAGCGAGAUUUCAAAAAUCUUUUUUUUUUACAACCCGGAAAAUCUUGAUUAUUGUUCUUUUGCCGUAAAAAGUUAAGAGAAUUCACUUAGGGUGAGUAAGAAAUAAGUUGGGGAGAAUCGGUAAGUACCACAACUCUUGAAAAAAAAAGAAAAACCGAGCAAGCAUUGAAAAUAAAAAUAUAGAAAAGAAACAUCUGUUUUGUAAAUAUGAUGUGAAAGAAAAGAACAAAAAUAGAAAGAAUGAAAAUGAAUGCUUGCUUGGAAGAAAAAUAGUGAAAAAUAAAAAUUGAGUUGUGAAAUAAGAGUUGUGAAGGUUUC